GUCUCCGCUCCUGUGGGAGGCCCGGGGCUCGCAGCGCGUUCGGGUGCCAGGGACGAGCCGAGCUGCUGCCCUUGACUGGUGCACAGAGGACCACAGCUGCAAUGACAGUUUGGGCCUGCAAAAAGACGGCUGGAACAACGGGAAAUGGAAGCUUUCUGCAAAUGCAGCACCACUGGUAUCCAUGAGUUUAACCUGCCCAUCAAUUUUCCUAGACAAGAGACUAUUGAAAAGUCAGGGUGUUCAAAUGGCUUCAGAUCUUAUCAGGACAAUCUUGGUUGUUGCACUAAUUUCCAAACUUGUAAGUGCAAUGGAUCUGCAGUUCUACUUGGCAAGAUAACCAUUUUAAGUUGAAUGAGAAUGACAUCACACUCACACCUGCAAAAUCUAAAAUGUCUAAUAAAGUAGAUUCCUAUGUCUGAACUUCAAUUUUAGGGCACAGCUGUAGAUGCAGAACUGAUGCCAUCUGGUGCGAUUCUACAGAAUAAGAGAGAAAAUUUACCCGGAGUGUGCCAUGCACUGGCUUUUCUGGGAAUGGCAAGGUGCCAGGAUUUGUUUUUGGUUCGCUUGCAGGG
RNAcentral lists this small RNA (572 nucleotides) under Pongo abelii (Sumatran orangutan). RNAcentral describes it as "retained intron". The record is from RNAcentral. Lineage: Eukaryota; Metazoa; Chordata; Mammalia; Primates; Hominidae.